AGAAUCAACGCUGGCGGCGUGCCUAACACAUGCAAGUCGCACGAGAAAGGGUAGCAAUACCUGAGUAAAGUGGCGCACGGGUGAGUAACACGUGAAUGAUCUACCUCCGAGUGGGGAAUAACUGAGAGAAAUCUUAGCUAAUACCGCAUAACACUUACGAGUCGAAGCAGCAAUGCGCUUGGAGAGGAGUUCGCGGCCGAUUAGUUAGUUGGCGGGGUAAUGGCCCACCAAGACGAUGAUCGGUA
This 245-nucleotide ribosomal RNA is filed under the name uncultured bacterium. RNAcentral describes it as "partial small subunit ribosomal RNA". It matches the Rfam family "Bacterial small subunit ribosomal RNA", at positions 26 to 285 of the family's 1533-position model. The record is from RNAcentral.